RNAcentral lists this long non-coding RNA (1166 nucleotides) under Homo sapiens (human). RNAcentral describes it as "HSALNT0009492". Lineage: Eukaryota; Metazoa; Chordata; Mammalia; Primates; Hominidae. The record is from RNAcentral.
UAUGAUAUACAAAAUUUUCAUCUGUAUAUGAGUCCAUUUCUGGACAUUCUAUUUCACUGGCCUAGGUAUUCUUCCAAUAAUCACUUAUUUCUUGUUAAACUAUAGGAGUGUUAUAAUAUGUUUUCAUUUCUAGUAGGGCUAAUGCUCUUUUACUGCUUUUCUUUUCUCUCCUACAUUUUAUCAUGAAAAAUUUUCAAAUGUUCAGAAAACUUACAGUGAAUACUCAUCCAUCUAUCCAUCCCUCUCUCAGUUCAUCUUAUUUUACGAUACAUUUCAAAGUAAAUUGAAGACAUCACUAUCACCCUCCCAAAUACUUCAGUAUGCAUAACAUCAAAUAGAGUUAAAAAUUUGUUAGUGUUCCCUAUUUUCCUGGAAUAAAUUUGUUUGUAAUGAAAGUCACAAAUCUUGAAUGUAGUAUCCAAUGAGUUUUGAGAAAUCUGGACACUCUCUGACUCCAGUAAAAUUCUUUUUCUCAGUAAAUCCUCACUUAUAUAUACUCCUGUCCCAAAGGUAAAUGCUAUUUUAAUUUUUUUUCUUAUCAUAAAUUACUUUUGCUUGUUUUAGGACUUCAUGUAAAUGGAAUCAUACACUAAAUUAUUUUGCCCUUCUGCCUUCUUCCAUGGGAAAUACAGCAAGAAAGCCCUCGCCACAUGCAGCCCCUCCAUGUUGGACUUCCCAGUCUUCAGAACCAUGAGCCAAAUAAACUUCUAUUGUUUAUAAAUUACUAAGUCUCAGGCAUCUUGUUACAGGAGCACAAAAUGGACUAAGACAUUUAGUAAUGUGAAAUGCAUUGAAGUAUGCUUUGUACAUGAUAAGCACUGAUUAAAUAUUAAAGAUCCUUAUUAGUAUCUUGCAUUGUUACCUCUCUUAUAAUAAUUUAAAAGUUAUAAAACCAAAAGCCUUCGAACUGUAAAAAGAGACUUUGAGGUCUUCAUUUCACUAAUAAUAAAAGUGAAGUCCAAAAAGAUUAAAAAACUUUCUCAGGGCAACACAGCAACUUAAUGACAGGUGAGAAACAUGACCCUGUUUUCUGACCAGUGUUUUAAGGCUUUCACUGUUCUAGUCACUGAUAAUUUGUGGUGACCAACACUGAAAUCAGUGAUUCAUUUCACAGAUAAAAUAUAAAUUAAAAGUUCAUAAGCCUAUGAAUUGGUAGACUAAAAACC